Molecule: small nucleolar RNA, 107 nt
Filed under: Gossypium hirsutum (cotton)
Lineage: Eukaryota; Viridiplantae; Streptophyta; Magnoliopsida; Malvales; Malvaceae
Description: Plant small nucleolar RNA R71
Rfam family: Plant small nucleolar RNA R71
About the family: R71 is a member of the C/D box family of snoRNAs containing the C (UGAUGA) and D (CUGA) box motifs. Multiple nearly identical copies of this snoRNA have been identified in Arabidopsis, and it is thought to function as a 2'-O-ribose methylation guide for 18S ribosomal RNA.
Source: Rfam by way of RNAcentral
AUUCGGUGAUGAGGGUAUUUCUGUAAUAAUUCUUUGUACCUUUCCCAUGAUUUAGACAAGGACUAAUCAUCCAUUUUUUGGAAAUCAAUGAUCUUGUUCCUCAACUU